GAUGAACGCUGGCGGCGUGCCUAAUACAUGCAAGUCGAGCGAACGGACGAGAAGCUUGCUUCUCUGAUGUUAGCGGCGGACGGGUGAGUAACACGUGGAUAACCUACCUAUAAGACUGGGAUAACUUCGGGAAACCGGAGCUAAUACCGGAUAAUAUUUUGAACCGCAUGGUUCAAAAGUGAAAGACGGGCUUGCUGUCACUUAUAGAUGGAUCCGCGCUGCAUUAGCUAGUUGGUAAGGUCACGGCUUACCAAGGCAACGAUGCAUAGCCGACCUGAGAGGGUGAUCGGCCACACUGGAACUGAGACACGGUCCAGACGCCUACGGGAGGCAGCAGUAGGGAAUCUUCCGCAAUGGGCGAAAGCCUGACGGAGCAACGCCGCGCGAGUGAUGAAGGUCUUCGGAUCGUAAAACUCUGUUAUUAGGGAAGAACAUAUGUGUAAGUAACUGUGCACAUCUUGACGGUACCUAAUCAGAAAGCCACGGCUAACUACGUG
This 497-nucleotide ribosomal RNA is filed under the name uncultured bacterium. Its description in RNAcentral is "partial 16S ribosomal RNA". It matches the Rfam family "Bacterial small subunit ribosomal RNA", at positions 28 to 507 of the family's 1533-position model. The record is from RNAcentral.